AUUGUCCCUCACUUGUUCCUCCUGUUACCCCCCAGUUAUUUGCUGUUCUAUGUCUCAGCUUAAGAUUGGCUCUGGACUCCUGAGGUCGCAGAGGAACUGGUGCCUCUCUCCCAAGGUCUACAGGAUGUGCCAGGAAUACCUCCAAAGGAAGGGACCCAGGAGGCAUCCUGAUCAAAUGCCCAAACAUCUCAACUGACUCCUCUUGAUGCAGAACAACAUUGACUCAAGAUGAUGGAGUUCUUCACACUAUGUCUAAGGCUGAGAUCAGCGCCCCUACGAAGAUAUCUCAUUUCAGACUCUUGUAUCUGGGAGCUGUGAACAUUGUGUAUACUCUGACUGAUUCUCAUCUCUUUCCCACUUGAGUUAUUUUUCCCAUCUGUCCAUUACACUUAAGAUUUUUGGCUCUUCCUAUUGCUUUCACUUCUAUCUAAUCCCACAAAUAAUGAAGGAUUCAAUCAUUAAGCCACUAGCAAAUGAAAGAAAUGCCUCAUUUUCUGGUCCCAUUAUGAACUCACAUGGUAACUACAAAUGUCAUUGCUUAGAUUUCUAUAUAUAUUCAGACAAACUUUUUCUUGAAUUUUGCUUUGAGUCAGUUUUUGUAUUUUCCUUAUUUUGUAUAUUGUGCAUAUCAAAGCAUGUUAUCAUUGCUCUGUUCGUUGGUGUUUUAUUUUAAUGUUAGACUUUUAUGGCUUUAAAAGCUCCCUCUAAUUAGAGAUAAAACAUAUGUAGUGUGAGAUUUUUUGAUACGGUAAAGUUGUCAUAAUGUGCCUCAUUACACAAAUAAUUUUAAAACAUGUAGACUGGCACAACUGGAUAAUGAUCUAUUCUCUUCACUAAUAUGAGCUUCAAAAUAUGAUGAAAUAUGCUGCUGCAGCAACAAAAGAAAACAUCUCUAUCUGAGAUACAUCACUGACUGAGCUAUCAAUCAAUGCCAGAAAAUUACUAUAUGGACUAUAUGGUAAACAUGAGCUACUCAAAAGUGUUAUUUGAAACCACAACUUUAAAUUAACAACUUGGGGGAAAAAAGGGAUAAGAGGAAUCAAAUGAUUUGCUUUGCAACUGAAAGAAUGCCUGAACACUGUUUUUCCUUUUUUGUUGUCUUAUUCAUUUCCUUUUGAAGACUGAUUGACCUCAUGGGAACCAACAUCCUGUCCGAAUGCAGAAGACCCUCAUUUUUAGGGUUCUGAAUUAGGGUUAGAGUCAUUGUGUGAAGUAAGGAAUGUAUUAGUAAUGGCCAAGGGUUAAGUUAAGUUUUAAGGUCAGGCACAAAUGAUGCAAAUAAAAUUAAUGGAAGUCAAUAAAAAGUCCAUAUAUGACAAGAAAUACAAACUUGUGUGUGUAUGUGAUCGUUCUCAUUGAGUAGUAGUAAUUAUUGUACCGCCACCUGCUAACAAGAUUAUUGAAUUUAUAUUAUUUUUUACACAUUUGCAAAUUGUUUGUAUAAAUAAGAUGGUGUGAUCUGAUAUCCAUCCCAUUUGUUUGAAAAUAAUGCCACUUACCACAUCAAAGUACAACAGAAGAUGUGAUUGUAGUUUGAUUUUAAAUGUUAUACAGCUAUUAAAUUUAUAUAACUGCUCUUGGUCCAGACAAAAUAAAUGAUUAGUGGUUUCUUUGUGUCCCAUCAAGUCAGUUACUCUCCUUCACUCAGCUUCCCUGCUUUCAUCCUGCUGCAGCUGUUCCGCAUUUCCUAUGAUUAGCUCAUCCUGUUCCUUUUUCAUUUUGCACCCCUGCCUCAAUAUUUAAGCUUCAGUUUUUUUAUUGUUCGUUAAUUCUUCCAUUACAUCGCCUGUUACGUCCUUCUUUUUGAUGCCUGUGUUCCAAGACCUGUUCUUCUUGUGAUUCCCAUGUAAGUUCUCCUUAUUUUCCUUAUUGAAGUAUUGCAUUUACCACAGUCUGCCACUGCACAUGAGUCCUUCAAAACAAUUAAACAUGACAGGAGAAACUACUUACCAAGGGGGGAAGUAGAGGGAAAUGAUCUAAGAGAAACAGAUCCAAACGUACAAAGAACAGAACACAAGAAUAAACUACAAAACUUCGACACACAACACAAAGGAAUGAAAAAAUGUAAAAAAACAAAAAAAAACUAAUAUGGCACAAGAAACAACCUUAAGAACACAACAAACCAGGAAAUAAUGAAAACACAAACACAAAAAGAAAACCAAAACCCAGACACCCAUGGAUUGUAACAUUAUCCUUUUUAUUUGACAAUGACUAUUUUUUUUACCAUUGUUAGGAAAUUGGAAUUUUACUUUACAGAGUCAACUAGAUUUAUAGCUGUAUUUCAGGCUGAUGAAGAUGAAAUAAUAUCUAUUUUAUUAAUUUCUAAAAAAUCUGAAAACAACAGUUUAAUAGCCUUACAUUUAUUAAUAGCAUUCAUUAGUCUUACCUUUCGCAUUUUUGAAAACCCAGCUGUGUCUAACCAACUGCUUCAAAUAUCCACAUUAACAGGAGUUUAAUGAGGGCCCUGGCUGCCAAACACUAUAACUGCUCUAAUUAUUCUCAAAGUGCUCACCGUUUGAAUAUGAUCUGAUCUUCAGCAGAAACAUUCACAGGUUCUACAAGUGAAUAAAAUCUUAAAGGCGCUCAGCCUCUUUGGAGGAUAGAGACUUAACGAGCUCAACAGCCUUUGAGUUGCCUGGAGACUGUGGCAGGGUUAUAAAAGCAUUAAGGACGGAAAUCAAGUCCCGCUGAACACAUAAAGAAGAAAAAAGGCUGCACGGAUUCUGACUAAGCUGUGGGCGGCGGCUAGAGAGGGUAUAGGGCUGUGAGGACAAAUGGGCAAGACAAAAGCAGAGUUGAGAUCAAAACAUAAUCGACAAUCACUAAGGUUGUGACAUUUAGAUAAAGUUGAUUUAUUGCUACAUACAACUUAAAUCUUUGGGCAGAACUCCCCAUGAAAUACUCUUGGGCAAUAUGAAGGUUUAACAGUGACAUUUCACAGCACAGAGCUGCCAUGCAGUCCAUUUCCUUUUUCUAAUUACAGAGUGAAUAUCGGCAGUGUUUAAUAUUAUGCUGUGUCAAGCGUUGUCAAGAGGUACAUUUCUAUCACUAAUCUAAUUAACCUUUUCAUCUUUUCACUGUCUUCCACUUUCAUUUUCCAUAACAACUUUGCCUUGUGGUGUUAUGGCACAAUCCAACUAAUAGUUUAGAUUUUCCCACUUAAAAUAUUAAGAAUGGAGAAACAAAAUCACACAACCAGAACUAAUGAUAAGCCUAAAAUUAUGUUUUCCCUGUAUAUGCAAAAGAGAUGUAAAGGGCAACAUAUUUUAUAAGAGCACAGUCUAAAUUGAAGAUGAUUCACAGUGGUCAGUGGUCAGUCAGUGAUCUACACCUUUCUUUCUUUACCAACCUAUAAAUUAACUUAAUAUUAACUUAUAAAUGUGCCAUUUUAAAUCACUCUUUGUUUUCAUUGGCAGGAGAACUUUGACCAUAGCAACAACAGUUAAAUGUUAAGCGUCUACUGGCAACAUAUAGUUUUGAUCAAAAUAUAAAAUUCUUAAAAGAGGCUGCAUUCAAUGUAAGCAGUGUAAUCUUGCUAUAUAAAUAAUCUUGCCUUGCCUUGUGAAGUGUGAGUUCCGCAUUACGCAUGGGCAGUCACGAGCAAAAUGAGCUAACCCAUGCUUUUGGUUUCCAGCGUGACAAGUCCCACUGCAGGUAGCAUGUUUAACAUCUCCAUAGACUUUGUAUUUGUUUGUAUACUCAAAAAGAUGAAUACUUGCUUUAGUUUUUACAUUUCAUUAUGUUUUAAUAUUGGAAAAAAACGUAUUUAAUACCAAGGAAUAACAGAUGCUAGCAAUACAAUAUAAAAAAUAUAAAGGUUAAGUAAGUGACAGGUCAGUGCUUAGUAGGAGCACCUUUGCCUCUAUUUACAAGACUGAGUCGGUUUGGAUGUAUUUCAAUCACGCUGGCAUGUCUGAACACUGAUAAUAACUGCUUUCCAGUCCAGCCACAAAUUCUCAAUAUGAUUGAAAUCUGGGAUUUGAUUUGGCCACUUAGUGAAGCUUUUGCUGUUUGUUUGGGUCGUUGUCUUGAUGUAAAAUAAAUGUCCAUCCAAAUCAUAGUUCUCCAACAGACUGAAGCAGAUCCUCAAGGAUCUGGCUACAUCUUUCUGAAUUCAUGUUUCACUGUACUUUUUUUGUUUUGUUUUUGGUUGUUUAUGUUACACUGACAGUCAUGAAUCAUGUUGUACAAUGCCCUCGUUAGUAAAAA
Girardinichthys multiradiatus is the source of this 4209-nucleotide long non-coding RNA. RefSeq lists it as uncharacterized. The transcript has 3 exons. Lineage: Eukaryota; Metazoa; Chordata; Actinopteri; Cyprinodontiformes; Goodeidae. The record is from RefSeq and is a predicted model, not a curated record.